This 532-nucleotide ribosomal RNA is filed under the name Evaniella semaeoda. Its description in RNAcentral is "eukaryotic LSU rRNA". Lineage: Eukaryota; Metazoa; Arthropoda; Insecta; Hymenoptera; Evaniidae. The record is from RNAcentral.
CCUGAGAAACCCGAAAGAUCGAAAGGGGAGAUUCAUCGUCAGCGACGUCGGCUUCUCGUCGGCUCGUCGCGCGCUCCCGCGACCAUCCCUCACCGGAUGUGUCGUGUGCUGUAGUCGCGCGGCGUCCUUCGCGUGCGCGCGCCCUCGGGCGCGCCGUCCAUGUCCGACAACGUAGGCGUGCACUUCUCCCCUAGUAGAACGUCGCGACCCGCUGGGCGCCGGUCUACGGCCCGGUGCGUCGCCUGUCCCGCCGUCCUUUGUGGCGUCGCGGGCCAGACGCCCGGUGCAUCGUCCCGACCGGCUGCCCGGCGGUAUCACUCGCAAGGUACUCUGGCCGCAAGUGCGCGUUCCGCGCGCACCGUGCGUCCUUCGAAAAAGGCUCGCCGCAAGCGCGGUCAGUGCUAACGCAAACCCGUGUCUGUACGGACGAACUACGCCGUCGCCGGGGCUGACCCGCUGUUCGCUGCGCGAUGUCCUCGGACAGGCAUGUGUAGUACCGGUCAGCGACGCUAUUGCUUCGGGUACUUUCAGG